Molecule: long non-coding RNA, 951 nt
Organism: Diceros bicornis minor
Lineage: Eukaryota; Metazoa; Chordata; Mammalia; Perissodactyla; Rhinocerotidae
Exons: 3
Source: RefSeq, a predicted model, not a curated record
AGAGGCUCAAGGGAGGAGUGGUCACAGACUGGAUCAAGCCAGGCUGUAGUGUUGCCACGUGAUCAUGACAAAGAAUGAUUAUAGUGAUCCACUGUGGAAUGUAAGCCAAGUGAGAAGAAGAGAAAGAGAUCUGAAAUGAAAGCAAGCAUGAAGAAGGACACCGUCUCCAUUUCCAGGCUUAGUGGCAUGAAGGUUAUAAGAAGGAAGACAAAAGAGACAGCCAAUAUUUGAGAAGCAAAGUAGGAACUCGUCAAUGUUCUAUUGGAUCAAGGAGGUGAAUGGAACAUUCAGAGAAUAGGCUGCUCGAGAAGGUGAACUGAGGAGUGAACUGCUUCUUGGUUAUCAACUUCAUACGAUCAUUAAGUGGAUUUUUAGAUUCUGAACAGUUUCCUUUGAAUCCUUUGACUCUUCUGCCUUGAAACUGCAUCUGUCCCAUGGACUGAACCCCAGUCAUGGGGAGAGGCCAGGUCAUGGUGAAGCCACGUGGAUCACAGACAUUUUGUUUGGUGAGUCUGUGUCUGGGGACCUCCAGUCAAGCAAAAGGAAAGCUGGCUCUGAGUUUGUUGUAUCCCUCUUUCCUGACCGUGACCCUGGCGUUCCAUAGGAAACAAGCUAACCUUGACCCUUCUGUGGGGCAGACACUGGAGGGUGCUUCAGAUUCAGCACUGAGCACCACAGCAGGGGAGGACGUUAAAAAUAACCUAACUACAGUUCUAAGAAGAGCUGCAAUGCAGAAGUUUGCUCUGUUGAAGCCCUAAUAUCCAGAACCUCAGAAUAUGACUGUAUUCGGACACAGGGCCUUUAAAAAGAUGAUUAAGUUAAAAUGAGGUGGUUUUUUUUUUUAGAGUGGGCCCUAGUCCAAUCUGCCUGGUGUUUUUUAUAAAAGGAGGUCAAUACACACAGAGAGACACCAAGGAUGUGCUCGCAAAGAGAAAAUGCCAUGUGAGGACA